GGCGGCAUGCCUAAUACAUGCAAGUAGAACGCUGAAGGAGGAGCUUGCUUCUCCGGAUGAGUUGCGAACGGGUGAGUAACGCGUAGGUAACCUGCCUGGUAGCGGGGGAUAACUAUUGGAAACGAUAGCUAAUACCGCAUAAGAGUAGAUGUUGCAUGACAUUUGCUUAAAAGGUGCAAUUGCAUCACUACCAGAUGGACCUGCGUUGUAUUAGCUAGUUGGUGGGGUAACGGCUCACCAAGGCGACGAUACAUAGCCGACCUGAGAGGGUGAUCGGCCACACUGGGACUGAGACACGGCCCAGACUCCUACGGGAGGCAGCAGUAGGGAAUCUUCGGCAAUGGACGGAAGUCUGACCGAGCAACGCCGCGUGAGUGAAGAAGGUUUUCGGAUCGUAAAGCUCUGUUGUAAGAGAAGAACGAGUGUGAGAGUGGAAAGUC
This 440-nucleotide ribosomal RNA is filed under the name Streptococcus mitis. RNAcentral describes it as "bacterial SSU rRNA". It matches the Rfam family "Bacterial small subunit ribosomal RNA", at positions 38 to 465 of the family's 1533-position model. Lineage: Bacteria; Bacillati; Bacillota; Bacilli; Lactobacillales; Streptococcaceae. The record is from RNAcentral.